GCAGCAUAAUCUUCGGAUUGAUGGCGAGUGGCGGACGGGUGAGUAAUAUAUAGGAAUCUGCCUUGUAGUGGGGGAUAACUAUCCGAAAGGAUAGCUAAUACCGCAUAAUGAUUACGGUUUAAAGCAGGGGAUCUUCGGACCUUGCGCUACAAGUUGAGCCUAUACAAGAUUAGCUAGUUGGUGAGGUAAAGGCUCACCAAGGCGACGAUCUUUAGCUGGUCUGAGAGGAUGAUCAGCCACACUGGGACUGAGACACGGCCCAGACUCUUACGGGAGGCAGCAGUGGGGAAUAUUGGACAAUGGGCGCAAGCCUGAUCCAGCAAUACCGCGUGUGUGAAGAAGGCCUUCGGGUUGUAAAGCACUUUUGUUAGGGAGGAUGGUGAUUUUGGCGAAUACCCAAAGUCAUUGACGUUACCUAAAGAAUCAGCACCGGCUAACUCCGUGCCAGCAGCCGCGGUAAUACGGAGGGUGCAAGCGUUAAUCGGAUUUACUGGGCGUAAAGGGUGCGUAGGCGGUUACUUAAGUCAGAUGUGAAAUCCCCGGGCUCAACCUGGGAAUUGCAUUUGAUACUGGGUGACUUAGAAUGUGGUAGAGGGUAGCGGAAUUUCUGGUGUAGCGGUGAAAUGCGUAGAUAUCAGA
This 639-nucleotide ribosomal RNA is filed under the name uncultured bacterium. RNAcentral's name for it is "bacterial SSU rRNA". It matches the Rfam family "Bacterial small subunit ribosomal RNA", at positions 69 to 701 of the family's 1533-position model. The record is from RNAcentral.